UGGGAAUUUUGGACAAUGGGCGCAAGCCUGAUCCAGCCAUGCCGCGUGCGGGAAGAAGGCCUUCGGGUUGUAAACCGCUUUUGUCAGGGAAGAAAUCUUCUGAGUUAAUACCUCGGGAGGAUGACGGUACCUGAAGAAUAAGCACCGGCUAACUACGUGCCAGCAGCCGCGGUAAUACGUAGGGUGCAAGCGUUAAUCGGAAUUACUGGGCGUAAAGCGUGCGCAGGCGGUUUUGUAAGACAGAGGUGAAAUCCCCGGGCUCAACCUGGGAACCGCCUUUGUGACUGCAAGGCUUGAGUGCGGCAGAGGGGGAUGGAAUUCCGCGUGUAGCAGUGAAAUGCGUAGAUAUGCGGAGGAACACCGAUGGCGAAGGCAAUCCCCUGGGCCUGCACUGACGCUCAUGCACGAAAGCGUGGGGAGCAAACAGGAUUAGAUAGCCCUGGUAGUCCACGCCCUAAACGAUGUCAACUGGUUGUUGGGAAGGUUCCUUCUCAGUAGCGUAGCUAACGCGUGAANUUGACCGCU
This 525-nucleotide ribosomal RNA is filed under the name uncultured bacterium. RNAcentral's name for it is "partial 16S ribosomal RNA". It matches the Rfam family "Bacterial small subunit ribosomal RNA", at positions 356 to 873 of the family's 1533-position model. The record is from RNAcentral.